GUGAGGAAUUUUCCGCAAUGGGCGAAAGCCUGACGGAGCAAUGCCGCGUGGAGGAUGAAGGCCUAUGGGUUGUAAACUUCUUUUCUCAGAAAAGAAUUAUGACGGUAUCUGAGGAAUAAGCAUCGGCUAACUCUGUGCCAGCAGCCGCGGUAAGACAGAGGAUGCAAGCGUUAUCCGGAAUGAUUGUGCGUAAAGCGUCUGUAGGUUGUUUAAAAAGUAUUCUGUCAAAGAUUAGGGCUUAACCCUAGAUAGGCAGAAUAAACUUUUAAGCUAGAGUUUGGUAGAGGCAGAGGGAAUUCCCGGUGGAGCGGUGAAAUGCGUAGAUAUCGGGAGGAACACCAAAGGCGAAGGCACUCUGCUGGGCCAAUACUAACACUGAGAGACGAAAGCGAGGGGAGCAAAUGGGAUUAGAAACCCGAGUAGUCC
Molecule: ribosomal RNA, 426 nt
Filed under: uncultured bacterium
Lineage: Bacteria
Description: bacterial SSU rRNA
Rfam family: Bacterial small subunit ribosomal RNA
Source: RNAcentral